CUUGCUGCGCUGCUUCCGUGACACUCUACGUUCCCGGGCUUCUGUGUGCGGUAGCGCGCCCGGCCGGCGGUGCGCAACGCCUCGUCUCCGUCGACGCUCCACACGCCCCACUCCACUCCCCCUUCGCCACAUCCGCCCCGCGCCGCAUCGACGUCCCACUCGCCCGCCCGUGCGUGAGCAUCUGCACACGUUUGCAGCCGUCUCACGCCACCCACGAGUCCACUUCAUUUUCCGCCUCGCUUUGCCUGCCUCAUCGUCUUCUUUUUGUGUGUGUGUGUGUGUGUGGAGGGUGGGGGAGGGGGCCUUCUCUCUCUCUCUCGGUGCCGCACAAAACCACCUCUUCUCCCGCCCUCGCCACUCCAGCAGGAAGGACGAUACAUCCACUAGCACAAACGAAAUCAUAAUCGUCCAAACAACACUUUCCACCCCCGUGAAGUCCGAUCGGGUUUAUCGCUCCUCUUCUGUUGUUCCGUUGUUUGCCUCUCUGUCACUUCCCUUCUUCCCCUCCCCCUCCCCUACAUCCCCACCCACCCCCGCCCCGACCACCCAUUCAUACACGACAAG
RNAcentral lists this unclassified non-coding RNA (564 nucleotides) under Leishmania donovani. Its description in RNAcentral is "gene:unknown". The record is from RNAcentral. Lineage: Eukaryota; Euglenozoa; Kinetoplastea; Trypanosomatida; Trypanosomatidae.